RNAcentral lists this ribosomal RNA (484 nucleotides) under uncultured bacterium. RNAcentral's name for it is "partial 16S ribosomal RNA". It matches the Rfam family "Bacterial small subunit ribosomal RNA", at positions 30 to 507 of the family's 1533-position model. The record is from RNAcentral.
AUUGAACGCUGGCGGCAGGCCUAACACAUGCAAGUCGAGCGGAUGAAGGGAGCUUGCUCCUGGAUUCAGCGGCGGACGGGUGAGUAAUGCCUAGGAAUCUGCCUGGUAGUGGGGGAUAACGUCCGGAAACGGGCGCUAACACCGCAUACGUCCUGAGGGAGAAAGUGGGGGAUCUUCGGACCUCACGCUAUCAGAUGAGCCUAGGUCGGAUUAGCUAGUUGGUGGGGUAAAGGCCUACCAAGGCGACGAUCCGUAACUGGUCUGUGAGGAUGAUCAGUCACACUGGAACUGAGACACGGUCCAGACUCCUACGGGAGGCAGCAGUGGGGAAUAUUGGACAAUGGGCGAAAGCCUGAUCCAGCCAUGCCGCGUGUGUGAAGAAGGUCUUCGGAUUGUAAAGCACUUUAAGUUGGGAGGAAGGGCAGUAAGUUAAUACCUUGCUGUUUUGACGUUACCAACAGAAUAAGCACCGGCUAACUUCGUG